CACGUAGGCGGAUAUUUAAGUCAGGGGUGAAAUCCCAGAGCUCAACUCUGGAACUGCCUUUGAUACUGGGUAUCUCGAGUAUGGAAGAGGUGAGUGGAAUUCCGAGUGUAGAGGUGAAAUUCGUAGAUAUUCGGAGGAACACCAGUGGCGAAGGCGGGCUCACUGGUCCAUUACUGACGCUGAGGUGCGAAAGCGUGGGAGCAAACA
Molecule: ribosomal RNA, 207 nt
Filed under: uncultured bacterium
Lineage: Bacteria
Description: partial 16S ribosomal RNA
Rfam family: Bacterial small subunit ribosomal RNA
Source: RNAcentral